CCUACGGGAGGCAGCAGUGAGGAAUAUUGGUCAAUGGGCGCGAGCCUGAACCAGCCAAGUAGCGUGAAGGAUGACUGCCCUACGGGUUGUAAACUUCUUUUAUAAAGGAAUAAAGUGAGGCACGUGGGCCUUGUGGUAUGUACGGGAUGAAGAAGGAUCGGCUAACUCCGUGCCAGCAGCCGCGGUAAUACGGAGGAACCGAGCGUUAUCCGGAUUUAUUGGGGUUAAAGGGAGCGUAGAGGGGUUGUUAAGUCAGUUGUGAAAGUUUGCGGCUCCACCGUAAAAUUGCAAUUGAUACUGGCCGUCUUGAGUACAGUUGCUGUAGGCGGAUUUCGUUGUGUAGCGG
Molecule: ribosomal RNA, 346 nt
Filed under: uncultured bacterium
Lineage: Bacteria
Description: partial 16S ribosomal RNA
Rfam family: Bacterial small subunit ribosomal RNA
Source: RNAcentral